CAAAAGUUUGGUCCUGGCUUUAAUAUCAGCUUUAACCCAAUUUACACAUGCAAGCCUCCGCAGCCCCGUGAGAAUGCCCUCAAUCCCCCGUCCGGGGACGAGGAGCCGGUAUCAGGCACAUAAAAUUUAGCCCAAGACGCCUUGCUUAGCCACACCCCCAAGGGACUUCAGCAGUGAUAAACAUUAAACCAUAAGUGAAAACUUGACUUAGUCAGGGUUAAGAGGGCCGGUAAAACUCGUGCCAGCCACCGCGGUUAUACGAGAGACCCUAGUUGAUAUACUCGGCGUAAAGAGUGGUUAUGGAAAACAAGCACUAAAGCCAAAGAGCCCUCAGGCCGUUAUACGCACCCGGGGCCUCGAGCCACUAUCACGAAAGUAGCUUUACCCUCGCCCACCAGAACCCACGAGAGCUGGGACACAAACUGGGAUUAGAUACCCCACUAUG
RNAcentral lists this ribosomal RNA (445 nucleotides) under Sprattus sprattus (European sprat). RNAcentral describes it as "partial small subunit ribosomal RNA". It matches the Rfam family "Bacterial small subunit ribosomal RNA", at positions 7 to 794 of the family's 1533-position model. Lineage: Eukaryota; Metazoa; Chordata; Actinopteri; Clupeiformes; Clupeidae. The record is from RNAcentral.